This 397-nucleotide ribosomal RNA is filed under the name uncultured bacterium. Its description in RNAcentral is "partial 16S ribosomal RNA". It matches the Rfam family "Bacterial small subunit ribosomal RNA", at positions 523 to 918 of the family's 1533-position model. The record is from RNAcentral.
AUACGUAGGUGGCAAGCGUUGUCCGGAUUUAUUGGGCGUAAAGCGAGCGCAGGCGGUUUCUUAAGUCUGAUGUGAAAGCCCCCGGCUUAACCGGGGAGGGUCAUUGGAAACUGGGAGACUUGAGUGCAGAAGAGGAGAGUGGAAUUCCAUGUGUAGCGGUGAAAUGCGUAGAUAUAUGGAGGAACGCCAGUGGCGAAGGCGACUCUCUGGUCUGUAACUGACGCUGAGGCUCGAAAGCGUGGGGAGCAAACAGGAUUAGAUACCCUGGUAGUCCACGCCGUAAACGAUGAGUGCUAAGUGUUGGAGGGUUUCCGCCCUUCAGUGCUGCAGCUAACGCAUUAAGCACUCCGCCUGGGGAGUACGGCCGCAAGGCUGAAACUCAAAGGAAUUGACGGGG